RNAcentral lists this ribosomal RNA (775 nucleotides) under uncultured Neocallimastigales. RNAcentral's name for it is "partial large subunit ribosomal RNA". It matches the Rfam family "Eukaryotic large subunit ribosomal RNA", at positions 23 to 646 of the family's 3401-position model. Lineage: Eukaryota; Fungi; Neocallimastigomycota; Neocallimastigomycetes; Neocallimastigales. The record is from RNAcentral.
UAGAGAGAGACAUGCGCGCAUAUCAAUAAGCGGAGGAAAAGAAACUAACUAGGAUUCCCUCAGUAACGGCGAGUGAAGCGGGAAGAGCUCAAAUUUGAAAUCUUCAAGGUUCUACCUUGACGAAUUGUAGUUUAAAGAAGUGUUUUCUGUUGAGGUUUUGGUAAAAGUUCUUUGGAAUAGGACAUCAUAGAGGGUGAGAAUCCCGUAUUUGACCUUUACUUUCAACUUUGUGAUACACUUUCAAAGAGUCGGAUUGUUUGGGAAUGCAGUCCAAAAUGGGUGGUAAAUUUCAUCUAAAGCUAAAUAUUGGCGAGAGACCGAUAGCGAACAAGUACCGUGAGGGAAAGAUGAAAAGAACUUUGAAAAGAGAGUUAAACAGUACGUGAAAUUGUCAAAAGGGAAGCGUUUGACACCAGUGUUGUUUUUCUGAAAAUCAAUUAAAGAACUGUUUAUGCUAAGUUGUUUAGACUUUAUCAGCUAUCUGUUUAGUUUUGAGCUUUUCUUUAAUGCACUUUUCAGUUAACAAGUCAACAUCAAUUUCUUUUGCUGUAAAAAAGCUUGAGGAAGGUGGCUUGAGAUUCGUCUUAAGUGUUUAUAGCCUCUUGCCUAUGCAGUCGGAGAGAUUGAGGUCUGCAGCGUAGAUCCUUCGGGGCUAAAUGCAUUUGUGCUAAGUUAUAGCAUUUUAUAGACAACUUGUUGACUAUGAUUUGUCUUGUAGCUUACUCGCUUAUGUUAUUUUACCUACGCUUAGGAUGUUGAUGUGAUACUGCGAGCA